Molecule: ribosomal RNA, 251 nt
Filed under: uncultured bacterium
Lineage: Bacteria
Description: partial 16S ribosomal RNA
Rfam family: Bacterial small subunit ribosomal RNA
Source: RNAcentral
UACGUAGGUGGCAAGCGUUAUCCGGAUUUACUGGGUGUAAAGGGCGUGUAGGCGGGUCUGCAAGUCAGAUGUGAAAUCUCAUGGCUCAACCAUGGAACUGCAUUUGAAACUGUAGAUCUUGAGUGAUGGAGAGGCAGGCGGAAUUCCGUGUGUAGCGGUGAAAUGCGUAGAUAUACGGAGGAACACCAGUGGCGAAGGCGGCCUGCUGGACAUUAACUGACGCUGAGGCGCGAAAGCGUGGGGAGCAAACA